RNAcentral lists this ribosomal RNA (2902 nucleotides) under Escherichia coli HVH 184 (4-3343286). RNAcentral's name for it is "bacterial LSU rRNA". It matches the Rfam family "Bacterial large subunit ribosomal RNA". The record is from RNAcentral. Lineage: Bacteria; Pseudomonadati; Pseudomonadota; Gammaproteobacteria; Enterobacterales; Enterobacteriaceae.
UUAAGCGACUAAGCGUACACGGUGGAUGCCCUGGCAGUCAGAGGCGAUGAAGGACGUGCUAAUCUGCGAUAAGCGUCGGUAAGGUGAUAUGAACCGUUAUAACCGGCGAUUUCCGAAUGGGGAAACCCAGUGUGUUUCGACACACUAUCAUUAACUGAAUCCAUAGGUUAAUGAGGCGAACCGGGGGAACUGAAACAUCUAAGUACCCCGAGGAAAAGAAAUCAACCGAGAUUCCCCCAGUAGCGGCGAGCGAACGGGGAGGAGCCCAGAGCCUGAAUCAGUGUGUGUGUUAGUGGAAGCGUCUGGAAAGGCGCGCGAUACAGGGUGACAGCCCCGUACACAAAAAUGCACAUAUUGUGAGCUCGAUGAGUAGGGCGGGACACGUGGUAUCCUGUCUGAAUAUGGGGGGACCAUCCUCCAAGGCUAAAUACUCCUGACUGACCGAUAGUGAACCAGUACCGUGAGGGAAAGGCGAAAAGAACCCCGGCGAGGGGAGUGAAAAAGAACCUGAAACCGUGUACGUACAAGCAGUGGGAGCCUCUUAAUGGGGUGACUGCGUACCUUUUGUAUAAUGGGUCAGCGACUUAUAUUCUGUAGCAAGGUUAACCGAAUAGGGGAGCCGAAGGGAAACCGAGUCUUAACUGGGCGUUAAGUUGCAGGGUAUAGACCCGAAACCCGGUGAUCUAGCCAUGGGCAGGUUGAAGGUUGGGUAACACUAACUGGAGGACCGAACCGACUAAUGUUGAAAAAUUAGCGGAUGACUUGUGGCUGGGGGUGAAAGGCCAAUCAAACCGGGAGAUAGCUGGUUCUCCCCGAAAGCUAUUUAGGUAGCGCCUCGUGAAUUCAUCUCCGGGGGUAGAGCACUGUUUCGGCAAGGGGGUCAUCCCGACUUACCAACCCGAUGCAAACUGCGAAUACCGGAGAAUGUUAUCACGGGAGACACACGGCGGGUGCUAACGUCCGUCGUGAAGAGGGAAACAACCCAGACCGCCAGCUAAGGUCCCAAAGUCAUGGUUAAGUGGGAAACGAUGUGGGAAGGCCCAGACAGCCAGGAUGUUGGCUUAGAAGCAGCCAUCAUUUAAAGAAAGCGUAAUAGCUCACUGGUCGAGUCGGCCUGCGCGGAAGAUGUAACGGGGCUAAACCAUGCACCGAAGCUGCGGCAGCGACACUAUGUGUUGUUGGGUAGGGGAGCGUUCUGUAAGCCUGUGAAGGUAGCCUGUGAGGGUUGCUGGAGGUAUCAGAAGUGCGAAUGCUGACAUAAGUAACGAUAAAGCGGGUGAAAAGCCCGCUCGCCGGAAGACCAAGGGUUCCUGUCCAACGUUAAUCGGGGCAGGGUGAGUCGACCCCUAAGGCGAGGCCGAAAGGCGUAGUCGAUGGGAAACAGGUUAAUAUUCCUGUACUUGGUGUUACUGCGAAGGGGGGACGGAGAAGGCUAUGUUGGCCGGGCGACGGUUGUCCCGGUUUAAGCGUGUAGGCUGGUUUUCCAGGCAAAUCCGGAAAAUCAAGGCUGAGGCGUGAUGACGAGGCACUACGGUGCUGAAGUGACAAAUGCCCUGCUUCCAGGAAAAGCCUCUAAGCAUCAGGUAACAUCAAAUCGUACCCCAAACCGACACAGGUGGUCAGGUAGAGAAUACCAAGGCGCUUGAGAGAACUCGGGUGAAGGAACUAGGCAAAAUGGUGCCGUAACUUCGGGAGAAGGCACGCUGAUAUGUAGGUGAAGCGACUUGCUCGUGGAGCUGAAAUCAGUCGAAGAUACCAGCUGGCUGCAACUGUUUAUUAAAAACACAGCACUGUGCAAACACGAAAGUGGACGUAUACGGUGUGACGCCUGCCCGGUGCCGGAAGGUUAAUUGAUGGGGUUAGCGGUAACGCGAAGCUCUUGAUCGAAGCCCCGGUAAACGGCGGCCGUAACUAUAACGGUCCUAAGGUAGCGAAAUUCCUUGUCGGGUAAGUUCCGACCUGCACGAAUGGCGUAAUGAUGGCCAGGCUGUCUCCACCCGAGACUCAGUGAAAUUGAACUCGCUGUGAAGAUGCAGUGUACCCGCGGCAAGACGGAAAGACCCCGUGAACCUUUACUAUAGCUUGACACUGAACAUUGAGCCUUGAUGUGUAGGAUAGGUGGGAGGCUUUGAAGUGUGGACGCCAGUCUGCAUGGAGCCGACCUUGAAAUACCACCCUUUAAUGUUUGAUGUUCUAACGUUGGCCCGUAAUCCGGGUUGCGGACAGUGUCUGGUGGGUAGUUUGACUGGGGCGGUCUCCUCCUAAAGAGUAACGGAGGAGCACGAAGGUUGGCUAAUCCUGGUCGGACAUCAGGAGGUUAGUGCAAUGGCAUAAGCCAGCUUGACUGCGAGCGUGACGGCGCGAGCAGGUGCGAAAGCAGGUCAUAGUGAUCCGGUGGUUCUGAAUGGAAGGGCCAUCGCUCAACGGAUAAAAGGUACUCCGGGGAUAACAGGCUGAUACCGCCCAAGAGUUCAUAUCGACGGCGGUGUUUGGCACCUCGAUGUCGGCUCAUCACAUCCUGGGGCUGAAGUAGGUCCCAAGGGUAUGGCUGUUCGCCAUUUAAAGUGGUACGCGAGCUGGGUUUAGAACGUCGUGAGACAGUUCGGUCCCUAUCUGCCGUGGGCGCUGGAGAACUGAGGGGGGCUGCUCCUAGUACGAGAGGACCGGAGUGGACGCAUCACUGGUGUUCGGGUUGUCAUGCCAAUGGCACUGCCCGGUAGCUAAAUGCGGAAGAGAUAAGUGCUGAAAGCAUCUAAGCACGAAACUUGCCCCGAGAUGAGUUCUCCCUGACUCCUUGAGAGUCCUGAAGGAACGUUGAAGACGACGACGUUGAUAGGCCGGGUGUGUAAGCGCAGCGAUGCGUUGAGCUAACCGGUACUAAUGAACCGUGAGGCUUAACCUU